GUAGGGAAUCUUCCACAAUGGACGAAAGUCUGAUGGAGCAACGCCGCGUGAGUGAAGAAGGUCUUCGGAUCGUAAAACUCUGUUGUUAGAGAAGAACGUGCAUGAUAGUAACUGAUCAUGUAAUGACGGUAUCUAACCAGAAAGCCACGGCUAACUACGUGCCAGCAGCCGCGGUAAUACGUAGGUGGCAAGCGUUGUCCGGAUUUAUUGGGCGUAAAGGGAACGCAGGCGGUUUUUUAAGUCUGAUGUGAAAGCCUUCGGCUUAACCGAAGAAUAGCAUUGGAAACUGGAAGACUUGAGUGCAGAAGAGGAGAGUGGAAUUCCAUGUGUAGCGGUGAAAUGCGUAGAUAUCAGGAAGAACACCGGAGGCGAAGGCGGCUUACUGGACAAUAACUGACGUUGAGGCUCGAAAGCGUGGGAAGCAAACAGGAUUAGAAACCCCGGUAGUCC
RNAcentral lists this ribosomal RNA (450 nucleotides) under uncultured bacterium. RNAcentral describes it as "partial 16S ribosomal RNA". It matches the Rfam family "Bacterial small subunit ribosomal RNA", at positions 354 to 796 of the family's 1533-position model. The record is from RNAcentral.